Molecule: ribosomal RNA, 557 nt
Filed under: uncultured Roseateles sp.
Lineage: Bacteria; Pseudomonadati; Pseudomonadota; Betaproteobacteria; Burkholderiales; Sphaerotilaceae
Description: bacterial SSU rRNA
Rfam family: Bacterial small subunit ribosomal RNA
Source: RNAcentral
GAAAGAGCACCUAAUACCGCAUACGACCUGAGGGUGAAAGCGGGGGAUCGCAAGACCUCGCGCGAUUGGAGCGGCCGAUAUCAGAUUAGGUAGUUGGUGAGGUAAAGGCUCACCAAGCCGACGAUCUGUAGCUGGUCUGAGAGGACGACCAGCCACACUGGGACUGAGACACGGCCCAGACUCCUACGGGAGGCAGCAGUGGGGAAUUUUGGACAAUGGGCGCAAGCCUGAUCCAGCCAUGCCGCGUGCGGGAAGAAGGCCUUCGGGUUGUAAACCGCUUUUGUCAGGGAAGAAAAGGUUCUGGCUAAUACCUGGGACUCAUGACGGUACCUGAAGAAUAAGCACCGGCUAACUACGUGCCAGCAGCCGCGGUAAUACGUAGGGUGCAAGCGUUAAUCGGAAUUACUGGGCGUAAAGCGUGCGCAGGCGGUUAUGCAAGACAGAGGUGAAAUCCCCGGGCUCAACCUGGGAACUGCCUUUGUGACUGCAUGGCUAGAGUACGGUAGAGGGGGAUGGAAUUCCGCGUGUAGCAGUGAAAUGCGUAGAUAUGCGGAGGA